Molecule: ribosomal RNA, 468 nt
Filed under: uncultured bacterium
Lineage: Bacteria
Description: partial 16S ribosomal RNA
Rfam family: Bacterial small subunit ribosomal RNA
Source: RNAcentral
GACGAACGCUGGCGGCGUGCUUAACACAUGCAAGUCGAACGGAAAGGCCCUGCUUUUGUGGGGUGCUCGAGUGGCGAACGGGUGAGUAACACGUGAGUAACCUGCCCUUGACUUUGGGAUAACUUCAGGAAACUGGGGCUAAUACCGGAUAGGAGCUCCUGCUGCAUGGUGGGGGUUGGAAAGUUUCGGCGGUUGGGGAUGGACUCGCGGCUUAUCAGCUUGUUGGUGGGGUAGUGGCUUACCAAGGCUUUGACGGGUAGCCGGCCUGAGAGGGUGACCGGCCACAUUGGGACUGAGAUACGGCCCAGACUCCUACGGGAGGGAGCAGUGGGGAAUAAUGCACAAUGGGCGGAAGCCUGAUGCAGCAACGCCGCGUGCGGGAUGACGGCCUUCGGGUUGUAAACCGCUUUCGCCUGUGACGAAGCGUGAGUGACGGUAAUGGGUAAAGAAGCACCGGCUAACUACGUG